UACGUAGGGGGCAAGCGUUGUCCGGAAUCAUUGGGCGUAAAGAGCGCGUAGGCGGCCCGAUAAGUCCGCUGUGAAAGUCAAGGGCUUAACCCUUGAAUGCCGGUGGAAACUGUCGGGCUAGAGUCCGGAAGAGGCGAGUGGAAUUCCUGGUGUAGCGGUGAAAUGCGCAGAUAUCAGGAGGAACACCGAUGGCGAAGGCAGCUCGCUGGGACGGUACUGACGCUGAGGCGCGAAGGCCAGGGGAGCAAACGGG
RNAcentral lists this ribosomal RNA (253 nucleotides) under uncultured bacterium. RNAcentral describes it as "partial 16S ribosomal RNA". It matches the Rfam family "Bacterial small subunit ribosomal RNA", at positions 524 to 776 of the family's 1533-position model. The record is from RNAcentral.